Molecule: ribosomal RNA, 301 nt
Filed under: uncultured bacterium
Lineage: Bacteria
Description: partial 16S ribosomal RNA
Rfam family: Bacterial small subunit ribosomal RNA
Source: RNAcentral
CAGUCGCCACGGGAACACGAGGGGGGCAAGCGUUGUUCGGAAUUAUUGGGCGUAAAGGGUGCGUAGGCGGUUCGAUAAGUCAUCUGUGAAAUCUAUGGGCUCAACCCAUAGUCUGCAGGCGAAACUGUCGGGCUUGAGUAUUGGAGAGGUGAGUGGAAUUUCCGGUGUAGCGGUGAAAUGCGUAGACAUCGGAAGGAACACCUGUGGCGAAAGCGGCUCACUGGACCAUUUCUGACGCUGAUGCACGAAAGCUAGGGGAGCAAACAGGAUUAGAUACCCCAGUAGUCCCUGUCUCUUAUAC